This 253-nucleotide ribosomal RNA is filed under the name uncultured bacterium. Its description in RNAcentral is "partial 16S ribosomal RNA". It matches the Rfam family "Bacterial small subunit ribosomal RNA", at positions 524 to 776 of the family's 1533-position model. The record is from RNAcentral.
UACGUAGGGGGCAAGCGUUGUCCGGAUUCAUUGGGCGUAAAGGGUGCGUAGGCGGCGCGGUAAGUCGGGUGUGAAAUCUCGGAGCUUAACUCCGAAACUGCAUUCGAUACUGCCGUGCUUGAGGACUGGAGAGGAGACUGGAAUUUACGGUGUAGCGGUGAAAUGCGCAGAUAUCGGGAAGAACACCCGUGGCGAAGGCGGCUCUCUGGGACGGUACUGACGCUGAGACGCGAAAGCGUGGGGAGCGAACAGG